UGUUUCCAGUCCAAUGAUACCCUAAUACAAAAAGGGAAAAAUGAGAUAGGACUAACAAAUAGCAACUUAAGGUAGUUGUCUAUGUGCAUGAUCAACAUGAUAAAUAUAUCAUAUUGCAUUCUCAUUUCUAGAAGCUUAAAACUAGCUUAAAAGAUAUCUCUAUUUCCUUUGUAUCUUUUUAAUAAAGAAAGAACAAAAUAGCUGAUUCAG
Molecule: unclassified non-coding RNA, 210 nt
Filed under: Hevea brasiliensis (rubber tree)
Lineage: Eukaryota; Viridiplantae; Streptophyta; Magnoliopsida; Malpighiales; Euphorbiaceae
Source: RNAcentral